RNAcentral lists this ribosomal RNA (239 nucleotides) under uncultured bacterium. RNAcentral's name for it is "partial 16S ribosomal RNA". It matches the Rfam family "Bacterial small subunit ribosomal RNA", at positions 105 to 334 of the family's 1533-position model. The record is from RNAcentral.
CGGGACGGGGUGGAGGUAAAUAGCUUGGGAAGUCUAGCUUAUGGAGGGGGAUACUAAAAGGGAACUGUAGCUAAUACCGCGUAAUAUCGAAAGAUUAAAGUGUGGGACCUUCGGGCCACAUGCCAUAGGAUGAGCCCAAGUGGGAUUAGGUAGUUGGUGAGGUAAAGGCUCACCAAGCCGACGAUCUCUAGCUGGUCUGAGAGGAUGACCAGCCACACUGGGACUGAGACACGGCCCAG